Patella vulgata (common limpet) is the source of this 694-nucleotide long non-coding RNA. RefSeq lists it as uncharacterized. Lineage: Eukaryota; Metazoa; Mollusca; Gastropoda; Patellidae. The transcript is spliced from 5 exons. The record is from RefSeq and is a predicted model, not a curated record.
AUAAUAUUGUCCAAGUUACUGACAUGACUAAUUUGAUGUCAUCUGAUGCUGCACAGACUUACUACACAUCGUCUGAUAAUUUUGUAGCUGCCAGAUGGAGGAUAAUAAACCCACAAGGCAUCUCUCCUAUAAGAUAUGAAUGUAGUGCCGGAUAUUCCAGUGAAAAUUCACCCAGUGGAAUAUAUGACACUGAUACAGAAAGGACAUGGUUUGAUGUUGGUGAAAAUACCGAAACUAUAAUAACUUUACCUACAGCUAAGGUUUUAGAUAAGUCUAUACCAUAUAGUGUAUUUGUGAGGGUAUGGUAUAAUACAAAUCAAUAUGCGAUAUAUAAGUCUCCCGGCAUUACAUCACUGACGUCUGCGCCUAGUGUCAGUCACAUAGCGACAGCUGCUAUAAAAGAAUUAGAAACUAUAUCAAGUGUUAAGGAUUUAGAUUACCAAACAUCAAGCAAUCAGAUUAUUGUUGGUUGGAAGAAUAAAUUUAGAGGAGGAAUUCAUGGAUUCGAUUAUUUUAAGUCUUAUAUAAGCACACAUCCACAAGGCCACAACGUUCAUCAGUCAUCUACAAGAGUAGCUGGAAAUACUAGUAUCUAUACAGCUACUAAUCUAAAUCUACAAGAUAAUAGAGAAUAUUAUAGUACUGUACUAGCUUAUAAUAAAGCAGGAUUACUGAGCUGGGCCAAUAGUGAUGG